CAGGGCCAGAAAGGGCGCUGG
This 21-nucleotide unclassified non-coding RNA is filed under the name Mus musculus (house mouse). Its description in RNAcentral is "oocyte_clustered_small_RNA5727". The record is from RNAcentral. Lineage: Eukaryota; Metazoa; Chordata; Mammalia; Rodentia; Muridae.